This is a non-coding RNA of Paramuricea clavata, 685 nucleotides long. The record is from the annotation of a GenBank genome assembly. Lineage: Eukaryota; Metazoa; Cnidaria; Anthozoa; Malacalcyonacea; Plexauridae.
AAAAUUUUGCUGACCCAACCAUUAAAAAGACAAAAAUUUGAUUACCCAACCUCAAAUAUCAAUUAAAAAAUAAUUACCCACCCUGGCAAAAACGUUACAAAAGGAUACCAUUCAGUUGUCACACAUGUCCUUUACCACUUCUGUGACAUGAGUUUGAUAACUGCUUGUGCAAUUUUCUGCAGUCUAAAGUUUCAUGUUGUCUGCACAUGUACUUUCUUUGGAGACACCAUUUGCCUCCUGACAAAUCGGAAAAUGAUCAAGAUAGUGACUCUGAUUGAUUGAUUGAUUUACAUAUUGUAUUGACAUAUGACUGUUGACAUUGCUUUUUAGUCUUCAAUAUUUGAGUGAGUCAUGCUUUGGAAAUGACAAUAAAUUUUUAUUACCCAACCCUUGAGUUGUUUUGUUUUUCAUUCACCCAACCUUUUACUCACUCAAAAUUUUGUUUACCCAACCCUUUUCUCUUCGGUGCCACCCCCCUCCCCCAUAAAUUAUGACCGCUCCCUAAGAUGCUGAAAACGAGUAUCACAACGAAAUGUUACGUGUACAUUAUCUUUAAAGGUAAACAAAUAUGUACGUGCUACAUGUGAUGUGGCGUUCUUCUGUCAGACAACCAUCGCACCUCGAACUGAAGGAGAAGCUCUCACAAGAGAUCACAUUUCGUGUAAAAUUACCUACAGUUGUACAG